This 505-nucleotide ribosomal RNA is filed under the name uncultured bacterium. RNAcentral's name for it is "partial 16S ribosomal RNA". It matches the Rfam family "Bacterial small subunit ribosomal RNA", at positions 28 to 507 of the family's 1533-position model. The record is from RNAcentral.
GACGAACGCUGGCGGCGUGCCUAAUACAUGCAAGUAGAACGCACAGUUUAUACCGUAGCUUGCUACACCAUAGACUGUGAGUUGCGAACGGGUGAGUAACGCGUAGGUAACCUGCCUGGUAGCGGGGGAUAACUAUUGGAAACGAUAGCUAAUACCGCAUAAUAUUAAUUAUUGCAUGAUAAUUAAUUGAAAGGUGCAAUUGCACCACUACCAGAUGGACCUGCGUUGUAUUAGCUAGUAGGUGAGGUAACGGCUCACCUAGGCGACGAUACAUAGCCGACCUGAGAGGGUGAUCGGCCACACUGGGACUGGGACCCGGCCCAGACUCCUACGGGAGGCAGCAGUAGGGAAUCUUCGGCAAUGGACGAAAGUCUGACCGAGCAACGCCGCGUGAGUGAAGAAGGUUUUCGGAUCGUAAAGCUCUGUUGUAAGAGAAGAACGGGUGUGAGAGUGGAAAGUUCACACUGUGACGGUAUCUUACCAGAAAGGGACGGCUAACUACGUG